RNAcentral lists this non-coding RNA (154 nucleotides) under Kerstersia gyiorum. RNAcentral's name for it is "FMN sequence". It matches the Rfam family "FMN riboswitch aptamer (RFN element)". Rfam says of the family: The RFN element is a highly conserved domain that is found frequently in the 5'-untranslated regions of prokaryotic mRNAs that encode for flavin mononucleotide (FMN) biosynthesis and transport proteins. Lineage: Bacteria; Pseudomonadati; Pseudomonadota; Betaproteobacteria; Burkholderiales; Alcaligenaceae. The record is from Rfam by way of RNAcentral.
AAGCGUUUUCAGGGCGGGGUGAAACUCCCCACCGGCGGUAGGCGUGCCAAUAGACACGCGAGCCCGCGAGCGCCCGGCAGCCUUGUUGCCGGGGUCAGCAGAUCCGGUUCGAUGCCGGAGCCGACGGUCAUAGUCCGGAUGAAAGAAAGCGCGC